GAUGAAGAACGUAGCGAAAUGCGAUACGUAAUGUGAAUUGCAAAUUCAGUGAAUCAUCGAGUCUUUGAACGCACAUUGCGCCCCCUCGUAUUCCGGGGGGCAUGCCUGUCCGAGCGUCAUUGCUGCCCUCAAGCACGGCUUGUGUGUUGGGCCCCGUCCUCCGAUCCCGGGGGACGGGCCCGAAAGGCAGCGGCGGCACCGCGUCUGGUCCUCGAGCGUAUGGGGCUUUGUCACCCGCUCUGUAGGCCCGGCCGGCGCUUGCCGAUCAACCCAAAUUUUUAUCCAGGUUGACCUCGGAUCAGGUAGGGAUACCCGCUGAACUUAAGCAUAUCAAUAAGCGGAGGA
This 345-nucleotide unclassified non-coding RNA is filed under the name soil metagenome. RNAcentral's name for it is "partial contains 5.8S ribosomal RNA, internal transcribed spacer 2, and large subunit ribosomal RNA". The stretch from base 1 to 119 matches the Rfam family "5.8S ribosomal RNA", at positions 35 to 154 of the family's 154-position model. The record is from RNAcentral.